UUUAUUAAGAGUUUGAUCCUGGCUCAGGACGAACGCUGGCGGCGUGCCUAACACAUGCAAGUCGAGCGAGAAACUUAAGAAUGAUCCUUCGGGUGAAUGAUUAAGUGGAAAGCGGCGGACGGGUGAGUAACGCGUGAGUAAUCUGCCUUAAGGAGGGGGAUAACACAGAGAAAUCUGUGCUAAUACCGCAUAACAUAUUAUUUUCGCAUGAAGAUGAUAUCAAAACUCCGGUGCCUUAAGAUGAGCUCGCGUCCGAUUAACUAGUUGGUGAGGUAAAGGCUCACCAAGGUAACGAUCGGUAGCCGGACUGAGAGGUUGAACGGCCACAUUGGAACUGAGAUACGGUCCAGACUCCUACGGGAGGCAGCAGUGGGGGAUAUUGCGCAAUGGGGGAAACCCUGACGCAGCAACGCCGCGU
This 418-nucleotide ribosomal RNA is filed under the name Oscillospiraceae bacterium. RNAcentral describes it as "bacterial SSU rRNA". It matches the Rfam family "Bacterial small subunit ribosomal RNA", at positions 1 to 402 of the family's 1533-position model. The record is from RNAcentral. Lineage: Bacteria; Bacillati; Bacillota; Clostridia; Eubacteriales; Oscillospiraceae.